UGCUUUGGGAGUGCAUGCUUAAAACAAUCCCGAGGAAUCCUCUAGUGCUACGACUAAUUAACCCUAAUUCAUCUGUUUUGUAAAUCUGAAUUUACUUCCAAGGAUAGAGUGUUUGGAGAAUAAAAGACGAGAUGAAGUACAAUUAAUAAAGGAAGGCUUCCUGGAGGGGGUGAGCCAGGGCCAAAUCUUAACGAAGGCAGUGAUCGCAGACCCCUGUAAACAACAGAAAGGAGAAAGGCAAUGUUUCAGUGAAGGGCAGCCUCAUAGCUGGCAGCAAAAGCCCUUCCUGUGACUAACAAUUUGAAUGUCUCUUGGGGUCAUCUAAGUAUUUACAGUUUACAAGGUCUUUCUUGCAUGUCACAGUGAUGAUAACAUUGAGGACACAUGUGCAUCCAGGACAGCAGGGCUAAGAACUGAAUCACAGCUUCCUAGUUAUCCUGCCAACAGCCUACUGGGCUUGGUGUUAACUAGCCCCCUUUUCCAGGAGAGGAAACUAAGGCUCAGGGUGCUGAAAGUCACACGUUUGGUGUGGAAGUUGGCUGGUAAACAAGAGCUUAGAUCUAAAUUCAAGUCUCCCUACCCUGAGGUUCUAAUCAUAUCAUCCUGUGGGGCUCAGAGCAGGAUGGAGAAGGGCAGGCAGUAUCGCAAAUGUACGGCAACACCAAUACAGCCAGAUCUUGGAAAUACUGCGGGUUUGGUUCCAGGCCACCGUGAUAAAGUGAAUAUCGCAAUAAAGCAAGUCACACAAAUAUUUUGGCUUCCCAAUGCAUGUAAAAAUUAUGUUCAUUCUCCACUGUAGUUUAUUACGUGUGUGAUAGGAUUAUGUCUAAAAAAAGCAAAAGUACAUAGCCUAAUUUUAAAAUACUUUAUUGCUAAAAUUUGCUGUCAUCUAAGUCUUCAAUGUGUUAUAAUUUUUUGUCUGGUAGAGGGUUUUCCCUUGAUGCCAAUGACUGAAGACUGAUUAGGGUGGCGGUUGCUGAAGGCUGGGAUGACUGUGACAACUUAAAGUAAGAAAACAGUGAAUUUUGCCACAUCUGUUCACAAACAAUUUCUCUGUAGCAAGCAAUGUUGCGUAACAGCAUUUUACCCACAGUAGAAUUUCUUUCAAACUUGGAGUCAGUCCUUUCAAACUCUGCCACUAGUUCAUCAACUAAAUUUAUUUAACAUUCUAAAUCCUUUGUUGUCAUUUCACCAAUCUUCCGAGCAUCUUCACCAGAAAUAGUUUCCAUCAAGAAAUCACUUUCGGAGUUUCUGUCGUGGCUCAGUGGAAACGAGUCUGGCUGGCAUCCAUGAGGACGCAGGUCUGAUCACUCAGUGGGUUAAGGAUCCAGUGCUGCCAUGAGCUGUGGUGUAGGUCACAGAUGCAACUUGGAUCUGGCAUUGCUGUGGAUGUGGCUUAGGCUGGCAGUUACAGCUCUGAUUCGACCCCCAGCCUGGGAACCUCCAUAUGCUGAGGGUGCAGUCCUAAAAAGAAAAAAGACAAAAAAAAAAAAAAAAAAAAGAAAAGGAAAAAAAAAGAAAUCACUUUCUUUGUCCAUCCAUAAGAAGCAACUCUUCAUCUGUUCCAGUUUUGUCAUGAGACUACAGCAAUUCAGUCACAUCUUCAGGCUCCACUUCUAAUUCCGGUUCUCUUGCUAUUUCCACCACAUCUGCAAUGACGUCUUGAACCCCUUGAAGUCAUCUGUGAGCAUUGGAAUCAAUGACUUCCAAACGCCUCUUAGUGUUGAUAUUUUAACCUCUUCCCCGAAUCACACAUAUUCUUAAUGGCAUCUAGAAUGGUGAAUCCAUCCCAGAAGGAUUUCCAUUUCCUUUGCUCAGAUCCAUCAGAGGAAUCACUAUCUAUAGCCUUACAAAUGUAUUUCUUAUAUAAUAAGACUUGAAAGUUGAAAUUACUCCUUGAUCUGCAGAAUGGAUGCUGUGUUAGCAGGCAUGAAAACAACAUUAAUUUCAUUGCACAUCUCCAACAAAGCUCUUGGGUGACCAGGUGCAUUUGUCAAUAAACAGAAAUAUUUUGGAAGGAAUCUUUAUUCCAGAGCAGUAGUUCUCAACUGUGGGCUUAAAAUGUUCCAUUAACCAUGUUGUCAACAGAUUUCUUGAUAUCCAGGCUUUAGUGUUCCAUUUAUAGCACAGGCAGAGUAGAUUUAGCAUAAUUCUUAAGGUCCUAAGAUUUGGGGAAUGGUAAAUGAGCAUUGGCUUCUACUUAAAGCUACAUUAGCUUCUUCUUUUUUUAUAUACAUUUUAUUGGAUUAUAGUUGACAUUCAAAUUGUGUUAGUUUCAGGCAUACAGCAGAGUAAAUCAGUAAUACUAUGCAUAUAUCCAUCCCUUUUCAUAUUCUUUUCCCAUAUAGGUUGUUACACAGUAUUGAGUAGAUUACCCUAUGCAAUACUGUAGGUCCUUGUUACUUAUCUAAUUUUAUAUAUAGUAGUGUGUAUAGCUUCUAACAAGGGAGUCAGCCAUCUCUUUGAAGUAGGCAUUGACUUUUCCCUAGCUUUGAAAGUCUUGGAUGGCAUCGUUUUCCAAUAUAAGGCAAUUUUGUCUACACUGAAAAUCUGUUGUUUCGUAUAGCCAUCUUCAUGAAUUAUCUCAGCUAGAUCUUCUAGAUAACUUGCUGCAGCUUCUACAUCGGCACUUGAUGCUUCGCCUUGUACUUUUAUGUUCUGGAGAUGGCUUCUUUCCUGAAACCUCACGAACCAUUGUCUGCCAGCUCCCAGCUUCUGCACUGUCCUCACCUCUCUCAGCCUUCACAGAAUUGAAGAGUUAGAGCCUUGCUCCAGAUAAAGCUUUGGCUUAAGGGAAUAUUGUGGUGGGUUUCAUCUACCCAAACCACUAAAACUUUCUCUCUAUAUGCAAUAAGGUUGUUUCACUAUCUUAUCAUUCCUGUGUUCACUGGAGGAGCACUUUUAAUUUCUUUCAAGAACUUUUCCUUUGUGUUCACAACUUGACUACCUGUUUGGUGCAAGAGGCCUAUCUCAGACUUUUGAUAUGCCUUCCUCACUAAGCUUAAACCUUUCUAGCUUUUGGUCUAAAGUGAGAGACAUGCUGCUCUUCCUUUCACUAGAACAUGUAGAGGGCAUUUUUUGGGGGGUUAUGAAUUGGUCUGAUUUCAAUGUUUUUAUGUCUCUGGGAAUAGGGUGGCCCAAGGAAGUGGGGGGGGGAGGGUAUGACCAGAUGGUAAAGCAGUCGGGACACACAAUGUUUACUGAUUAAGUUUUCUGUCUUAUAUGAGUGCAGCUCAUAGUGCCCCAAAUCAGUUGCAAAAGUAACAUCAAAGAUCACUGACCACAGAUCACUGUAACAUAUAAUAAUAAUGAACAAAACCUGAAAUAUUGCGAGAAUUGGCAAAAUGUGACACAGAGACACAAAGUGAGCAAAUGCUCUUGAAAAGACGGUGCUGAUAGGCUUGCUUAUGCAGGGUUGCCACAGACUUGGUUUGUAUUAAAAAAUCAAAAAACAAACAAAAACCCCACAGUAUCUGCGAAGUGCAACAAAGCAAAGGUAGUUUUCUUCUCCCUCCUGCCUCAUGGUGGUCUCUUUGCGGUCUUCACUAGUGGCUGCUGCCUUCUCCUGUCCCAGACCUCUAAAUGCUAUCAAGGUUCAGGGCUCAUUACCCUCCGCUCCCACUGCUUCCUCCCUGGGUCACCUUAGCUAGUUACGUGGCUUUAAAUGCCAUUCAUGAACUCAUGACACCCAGAUAUGUGUCUGCAGCCCUGACCACUCCUCUAAGCUCCAGGCUGCCCACACCAUGUCUCCACUUAGAAAUCUAGCCUGUCCUAAACAGAACUUUUCAGUGUUCCCCCAAACGUGGGCCUUUCCUGGGCUUUCCCACCUAGAAGAUCGAAGCAUCAUUUGAACUCAGGCCAAAAAAGUCUGGAGUCAAGUUAUUUCUCACCACAUCUACACCUACUUCACUAACCAUUGUCUUUUCUUGCUUGGACUGGAAAAUUGGGACAAUUCCUUCUGGCUCCUCUCUGGUCCCCUUCAUUCACCUCCUCCCAAUAAGCUGUUUUCUUUGUACAGCCAGACAGGUAUUUGCAACAUGUAAAUCAGAUCAUUCAUGAUUUCCCUACCCCAAACGCAUACAGUAGUACUACUUUAUCCAUGGUUUCACUUGCCGUGGUCUUAAAAUGUUAAAUGGAAAAUUCUAGAAAUAAGCAAUUCAUAAGUUUUCCAUUGCCCUCUCUGCUGAGUAGCAUGAUGAGAUAUGGCACCAUCCCAAUCCAUCCGCCCAGCACCUCAGUCAUCCCUUUGUCUAUUAGCCACUUAGUAACCACCCGGACUAUCAGGUUGACUGUCCCAGUAUCUAUCUCCCACUGUCCCACUGCUUGUGCUCAAAUAACCAUAACUUUGCUUAAUCAUGGUCCCACUAUUAUUUACUUAAUAAUGGUCACCACUGUGCACAACAGCGUCUCAGUAGAGCCAGGUCACAGUGUCAAUCACUGGCCCAGCACAGUGGCUUAAAGGAUCCAGUACUGCUGUAGCUGCGGCAUAGGUCACAACUGUGGCUCUGGAACUCCAUAUGCUGUGGGGCAGCCAAAAAAGAAAAUGUAAUAACAACAAUGGCCCCAGAGGGCAAGAAUGGUAAUGCUGGCAGUUUGGAUGUGCCAAAGAGAAGCUGUAAAAUGCUUCUUUUCAUUGAAAAGGUGAACAUUCUCAAUAAGGAAAGAAAAAAAAAAAUCUGUGCAUGAAAUUGUGAAGGAGAAAGAAGAAAUUCAUGCUAGUUUUGCUGUCACACUUCAACCCACAAAAGUUACAGCCACAGUGCAUGGUAAGUGCUUAGUUAAGGCGUUAGGUUUGGAGUUCCUGUGGUGGCUCAGUGGAUUGAUUACAAGCCUGACUAGUAUCCAAGAGGAUGCAGGAUCGAUCCCUGGCCUCACUCAGUGAAUUAAGGAUCUGGCAUUGCCAUGAGUUGUGGUGUAGUUCGCAGACGCAGCUCAAAUCCGGUGUUGCUGUGGCUGCAGCAUAGGACUGAAGCUGCAGCUCCGAUUCAACCCCUAGCU
RNAcentral lists this long non-coding RNA (4998 nucleotides) under Sus scrofa (pig). Its description in RNAcentral is "lncRNA (ENSSSCG00000062786.1)". Lineage: Eukaryota; Metazoa; Chordata; Mammalia; Artiodactyla; Suidae. The record is from RNAcentral.